RNAcentral lists this ribosomal RNA (264 nucleotides) under uncultured archaeon. RNAcentral describes it as "partial 16S ribosomal RNA". It matches the Rfam family "Archaeal small subunit ribosomal RNA", at positions 716 to 982 of the family's 1478-position model. The record is from RNAcentral.
AGUCACUGACAUUAGAUACCCGCGUAGUCCCAGCCGUAAACAAUGUGCGUUAGGUGUGUCGGUAACCACGCGUUACUGAUGCGCCGAAGAGAAAUCGUGAAACGCACCACCUGGGAAGUACGGUCGCAAGGCUGAAACUUAAAGGAAUUGGCGGGGAGCACCACAACAGGUGGAGCCUGCGGUUUAAUUGGAUUCAACGCCGGACAUCUCACCGGAUAAGAUAGCUGAAUGAUUGUCAAUCUGAAGGUUUUACAUGACUAGCUG